AUGGCUCAGAACGAACGCUGGCGGCAGGCCUAACACAUGCAAGUCGAACGCCCCGCAAGGGGAGUGGCAGACGGGUGAGUAACGCGUGGGAAUCUACCUUGUGGUACGGAACAACCAAGGGAAACUUUGGCUAAUACCGUAUGAGCCCUUCGGGGGAAAGAUUUAUCGCCAUAAGAUGAGCCCGCGUAGGAUUAGCUAGUUGGUGAGGUAAUGGCUCACCAAGGCGACGAUCCUUAGCUGGUCUGAGAGGAUGACCAGCCACACUGGGACUGAGACACGGCCCAGACUCCUACGGGAGGCAGCAGUGGGGAAUAUUGGACAAUGGGCGCAAGCCUGAUCCAGCCAUGCCGCGUGUGUGAUGAAGGCCUUAGGGUUGUAAAGCACUUUCGCCGAUGAAGAUAAUGACUGUAGUCGGAGAAGAAGCCCCGGCUAACUUCGUGCCAGCAGCCGCGGUAAUACGAAGGGGGCUAGCGUUGUUCGGAAUUACUGGGCGUAAAGCGUACGUAGGCGGAUCGUUAAGUUAGGGGUGAAAUCCCGAGGCUCAACCUCGGAACUGCCUCUGAUACUGGCGAUCUUGAGUCCGGGAGAGGUGAGUGGAACUCCUAGUGUAGAGGUGAAAUUCGUAGAUAUUAGGAAGAACACCAGUGGCGAAGGCGGCUCACU
RNAcentral lists this ribosomal RNA (663 nucleotides) under Kaistia sp. 110609_136_C_G3. Its description in RNAcentral is "bacterial SSU rRNA". It matches the Rfam family "Bacterial small subunit ribosomal RNA", at positions 19 to 730 of the family's 1533-position model. The record is from RNAcentral. Lineage: Bacteria; Pseudomonadati; Pseudomonadota; Alphaproteobacteria; Hyphomicrobiales; Kaistiaceae.